RNAcentral lists this ribosomal RNA (490 nucleotides) under uncultured bacterium. RNAcentral describes it as "partial 16S ribosomal RNA". It matches the Rfam family "Bacterial small subunit ribosomal RNA", at positions 30 to 507 of the family's 1533-position model. The record is from RNAcentral.
AUUGAACGCUGGCGGCAGGCCUAACACAUGCAAGUCGAACGGUAACAGGAAGCAGCUUGCUGCUUUGCUGACGAGUGGCGGACGGGUGAGUAAUGUCUGGGAAACUGCCUGAUGGAGGGGGAUAACUACUGGAAACGGUAGCUAAUACCGCAUAACGUCGCAAGACCAAAGAGGGGGACCUUCGGGCCUCUUGCCAUCGGAUGUGCCCAGAUGGGAUUAGCUAGUAGGUGGGGUAACGGCUCACCUAGGCGACGAUCCCUAGCUGGUCUGAGAGGAUGACCAGCCACACUGGAACUGAGACACGGUCCAGACUCCUACGGGAGGCAGCAGUGGGGAAUAUUGCACAAUGGGCGCAAGCCUGAUGCAGCCAUGCCGCGUGUAUGAAGAAGGCCUUCGGGUUGAAAAGUACUUUCAGCGGGGAGGAAGGGAGUAAAGUUAAUACCUUUGCUCAUUGACGUUACCCGCAGAAGAAGCACCGGCUAACUCCGUG